This 73-nucleotide transfer RNA is filed under the name Candidatus Berkiella cookevillensis. Its description in RNAcentral is "Legionella-like amoebal pathogen CC99 tRNA". It matches the Rfam family "tRNA". From Rfam's summary of the family: Transfer RNA (tRNA) molecules are approximately 80 nucleotides in length. Their secondary structure includes four short double-helical elements and three loops (D, anti-codon, and T loops). The record is from Rfam by way of RNAcentral. Lineage: Bacteria; Pseudomonadati; Pseudomonadota; Gammaproteobacteria; Candidatus Berkiellales; Candidatus Berkiellaceae. RNAcentral also lists the same sequence under 1 other name.
GCUGGCAUAGCUCAGUUGGUAGAGCAGCUGAUUUGUAAUCAGCAGGUCGCGGGUUCAAAUCCUGUUGCCAGCU